UCCCAAACUUCAUUCCUCCUCCCAAAACCUAGAGCAGCGGCAAAGGAUGGAGAGAAUGUUCUUUAGCAAAUCUGAUUUUUCUUGAGCAAUCGAUUAUCGGCAUCGAAGUAUGUAAAGGAUCGAGAGAUUGUUUCUGAAAGAUUCGGAAAUCGACUGAAAAACAUAGAUCUAGGGUUUCUGUUAGAGAUGAAGUCUGGUUUAUGGGGUUUAGUUUUGCUUGAAUUGUCUCCUACUAUGCAAAGGCAUUCACCAAAGCACAGAAAUCUAGGGCUUACUUCAAGAGGUUUCAAUUUAAAUUUAAGCGAAGGAGAGAGGAAAAGCUUGAUUACAGACCCAGAAUCCGUCUUAUUUACUAGGACAAGAACAAGUACAACACCCCUAAGUACUGUUUUGUUGUUCGUUUCACCAACAAAGACAUUUUUGCUUAGCUCAUUUCUGCUACCAUUACUGGUGAUUUGGUAAUGUGUGCUGCUUAUGCACAUGAGUUUCCCCGAUAUGCUUUUGAUGUUGGUCUCACCAACUAUGCUGCUGAAGAAGAGGGGAGUUAGUAAGAAGCUAAUGUUGCCUGCCAAGGGUAUGAUGGUGCCGAAAUAAUGGAGUUGAGUUGUGGUUAAAGCUGGAAACUGGUGUAACUAGGACUUGCAGCUGCAGAAGUUCUUAUGCUGUAAAGAAAUGGAAGAGAUGAAUUGGUGAUGGUUGUUGACAGAAAUUGCAAGGAUGAGCUGUUGUUGCAGAGUGGUUGAAAUGGAUUUUGGUGAUGUUCUGCUGAUGGGUUUGCUUGUUGCUGCUGUAGAAGGUGAACAUGAGAUGGUUUGCAGUGUGCAACUGGUAAUGUGUGGAGUUUUCUUUCAGGAGAUGUAUAUUGGGCAUAAUGUGUAUUAUUUGGAAGUAGAUUUGCAGUCAGACAACGAAAAAUACCUUACAUUGUUCAAGAAAAUUGGCUAUACUUGCAGUAAGGAGUAUUAUGAUGUCAUUCAUGGAGAGAUAGUAAAUAAGACAAGUGAGUCUCCUCCCAUAAACUGCAUUUCAGAUUUGACAAUAAUUGCAAUACAGUCUUUGAGUGAAUUUAGAAGUAAUGCAUGAUAACUCAGUGGUGGCAUUAGAAACCAAUAAGGCUUGCUCUUCACUGCGCGCAUCUUUCACAAUACAUCUUUCCCCAGUUAACUUUGACACCUUAGGUGUUGCCAGCUCAAUUAACUUUGACAUUGUAGCCUGAUGAGCAAUGGACUGGAGCAGAAGGAGAUACAACUAUGAUGGAGAUAAUUUUUAUCAGUAAUUGAAGCCAAGCGUUCUUGUCUUCAUCAGGUAAUUCAAGUGUGAGUUCUUGUGUGGAAUCACAAGAUGAGUGUGUAAAGUGAGGAUCAAUGCUUGGUUGCAGAUAAAGCUUCGAGGUAACUAUUACUUAUGCUGCCUUACUGUUUAUGAUUGAUUGUUGAGUAUCUGCUGCUUAUGAGUAAUGACUUGGAAAUGCACCACUACUCGUGUCCUAUUGUUGGUCUAGCAAUAACCAUGUGAUGUUUGCAGACCGGAUGGUGGGUUAACGCUGUCGUAAAUGCUAUGGAAGAAAGAAUUCUUUUGAUUUUGCAGUUGGAAGAAAGAAUGUGGGUUAAAAUGCUAAUACGUCUCCAUAAUGCUGGAAAGAAAGAUAAGAUCAUGUUAUCUUUGUAAGUUUGUAAAUAGCAUCUGCUUAUAGUGGUUUAUGUUAGAAGAAUUUGUGAACUUAUGAAGUUUCCAAAGUUUCUUAUGAACUGAACUUCAGAACUUGAUACUUGGCAAAAAAUAAUAAUUGUACUUAGAAAAAUCUUUUUCCUUUUUCUGAUAUGAAUUGGAUGAAUGUUAUAUGAAUUGAAUGAAUGAUGAAACUAUUGUUCACUGUGGAUGAU
Molecule: long non-coding RNA, 1883 nt
Organism: Papaver somniferum (opium poppy)
Lineage: Eukaryota; Viridiplantae; Streptophyta; Magnoliopsida; Ranunculales; Papaveraceae
Exons: 6
Source: RefSeq, a predicted model, not a curated record